AGACCCGUGCUCUUUCUCGGAAUUCGAGGCGCCCAGGGCAGCACGCACCCAGGCUGGAGAGGGACCCGGGCAGCUCGCGCGCUGCACUUACCUGAGCACCUGAGCGCGGCUCCCGCCUCAGCUUCGGGUGCGGCGCCGGCACAGACCGAGGGUCCCAGAGUAGCGGCGAAAGCUGCCUACUUGCGACCAAUCCCGGUGUUGAACCCGGUGCUCUGCCUGGUGCCGCGCUCCCCUCCCUCCUCACGCUCGCGGCUGCUCAAAAAACCCGGCGGCGCGGAGUUCAGGCUGCCGGCUCCCCAGCCCCGGAGGAGGGGGAGACGCGCGAGGAGGACGCGGGGGCGGGGGGCGGCGCGCGGGAACUGAGCAUGCUCAGUGCGCGGCCCGAGGAGGCGCGCGCCCCGGCGCUGCACCUGCCGGCCCUGCCCGCGGGGGAAGGGCCCGGCGCCCGGGAGCGGAGAUGUGGCAGGGUGCCUCGCCUGAGUCCCGGUCACCCGAUGAACCAUCAAGCCGAUGCCCGCGCCCUGCAGAGGAUAUGCUGCUUAGCGACGGGAAAUAAACCGCAUCGAUGCCGCCUUCUUUUCGAGUAUGGGGGCGCAAGGAGGCGCGACCUGCCCGGAAAACACAUGAAGCUCACUGCUUGCCACCUCUGCCAAAAAAGGAAGCCUCUUGCUGAAGCUCCCAGGAUUGGGGAGUGUUCCUGGGAGAACUAGCCCCUGCCAGGAGACAGGAAUGAUUUAUUUUGAUGACAACAUCCUCACACAUGUGUCCCCGCGGAUCUGGGACUGGCUUGGUGUCAGUUUCUUGCUCAGGGAAGUUGUCAUUGGGAUUCUCUGGGGGAAAAUGUUCCAAACGAAUCAAUUAGUGCUUCCAACAGCAAGUUUAAUAUCACUGCACUGAGUCCCCACUCUGUAUCAGUGCAUGAAUGAAUUACUAGUGCUCAUGUAAUUUGCAAGAAAACACCAUUGUAAGGCAGUGGAAAAUUUCUCCUGCCCAUUUAGCCUAGGUAGCAUCUAAGCAGAGACCUUCUGUAACCCCCUAUACAGUGCCCCCAAAUAAUUUUACUUCCAAGCCUUUUAAUCUUUGUGGACACAAGGUCACCUCUUAAUGCUCAUUAAACCAAUUUGAAAAGAGUCUGAUAACUCUUAAGGGAAAUUAACACUGAAAACGCUUUUGACUUUUUGGAGACAUGUAUGGAAUACAUCAGCAGGUUAGGCUCAGCAUGCAACAGUUCUGAAAACUCCAGAAAGGCAUUUAUCUACUCCUGUCACUUCUUCCCCACACAUCAAGAGGACAUGGUGGAAAUAGCUUUAAUAAAAGUGGAAAAAGGAAGAGUAUCAUAGGAAAAGAAAUAUACAUUCCAAAUACAUCUGAUGUGAUUUGAUUUUCUUCUUACACCUUGCAUCCAGGAUCAUUUAAAAAAACCAAAUAAACACUACCCUCUCUUUUCUAAAUGACUUGACUAAGGCCAUCCGGUGGCAAGAAUGUUUCAAUUAGAUAACACAUACCUUCCUUUUAUAAUUAGUUGUUGCUUAUUUUUAGUGUUUUUGGUAUCUAGAUAAAUCUUUCAGUAUGAAGCAACACUUGUACCCUAUCCCCGGGUUUUAAAACUAGUUCAAAUUCACUUUGAUCAAGUGGUUAAAGCAGUGCUUUUUAAGGAAUUGUGUCAAGAGGAGCUUUGUGUUCAUUGUUGAAACAGAUUGUAAUGAAACAAAGCUCAGGUAAAGACUUUCAGACUAGGCUCCUUAAGGUUCCUCCUCUUCAAUUGUUUUAGGUGAUUGAUGGAUGCUUGAGUUUCAAACUAAGGGCUUCAGAACAAUAAUGGCCACAUAGAGGGAUAAUGAUACUUAACAGACAAAAGCACAGUUAAUUGCCAUGAAGGUUGUGAUAUAGAUUGACAGAGUCAGAGUAAGCUGGAAGCCUGAAACCCCAGCCAAGACUACUUUAUAAACAUGGCAGUGAGACUCCGAC
Long non-coding RNA from Capra hircus (goat), 1968 nucleotides. Lineage: Eukaryota; Metazoa; Chordata; Mammalia; Artiodactyla; Bovidae. The record is from Ensembl.